AGAGUUAGUUAAACAAUAAUAUAAGAUUGUCAAUCUUACGUUGCUAAUGAAGUUUAGUACUUUUUAC
RNAcentral lists this transfer RNA (67 nucleotides) under Taron dubius. RNAcentral describes it as "tRNA-Asp". The record is from RNAcentral. Lineage: Eukaryota; Metazoa; Mollusca; Gastropoda; Neogastropoda; Fasciolariidae.